Molecule: non-coding RNA, 623 nt
Organism: Aquila chrysaetos chrysaetos
Lineage: Eukaryota; Metazoa; Chordata; Aves; Accipitriformes; Accipitridae
Source: the annotation of a RefSeq genome assembly
GCAGAAGAGGUGAAGCUGCAAGCAUCGGUUCCCUCCUGCUGACAGGUCCCUGGGCACCCCAUGAAGGGAGAGCGUGACAUGGUCCUGCUUUUCCUGGCAGCACUGGUGGGACUGGCAGACUUUGGUCAUGCCCAAAAGGACUCUGUGCUCCAGUUUCCAGCAGAAAUGACCGUCCAGGCAGGGGAGAGCACAGCUCUGCACUGCAAUUUCUCCACCAGCUAUCGCAAUCCCUACAUCUACUGGUACCAGCAGCGCCAGUCCCAGUCCCCUCAGAUGCUGCUGCAGGUCGACAAAUGGAAAUCUCGGGUGGAUUCAGGGAGAUUCUCCUCUACACUGACUGUGGAGACCUCCCAGGCAACAGGAAUGGUUCUGGGGACCUAUUCUCAGGCAAUCCCACCCCAGCACUGCCUGUGGAAGCUCAGCUGGAGGGUGCUGGCUUUCCAGCUGGAUCCCACCCUAUGAAGUGGAGACUGUUGCUCAUGAAGUAUCAUCCAGUUCACCUGAGAAAGCCUAAGGUACUUGGUGGUUGACCUACUGCUGUUCCAGAAUGGCCUGCCUCUUGCAAGUGACAUGGGUCUGCUCUGCCAGCCCUGUUGGAGGCUUUGCCUGCCCCUAUUCAUCUC